AACGUAGGAGGCGAGCGUUAUCCGGAUUCACUGGGCGUAAAGCGCGCGUAGGCGGUUAGGCAAGUCGGGUGUUAAAGCCCCUGGCUCAACUGGGGGAGGUCAUUCGAUACUGCUUGGCUUGAGGGUGAGAGAGGAAAGUGGAAUUCCCGGUGUAGCGGUGGAAUGCGUAGAGAUCGGGAGGAACACCAGUGGCGAAGGCGGCUUUCUGGCUCACUUCUGACGCUGAGAGCGCGAAAGCGUGGGGAGCAAACGGG
Molecule: ribosomal RNA, 254 nt
Filed under: uncultured bacterium
Lineage: Bacteria
Description: partial 16S ribosomal RNA
Rfam family: Bacterial small subunit ribosomal RNA
Source: RNAcentral